UUGCAAAAAAAAAAAAAAAAAAAAAAAAGACUUAACUUCUCUAUUGCAUCGAUUCUCAACUUUAUUGCAAGACCCAUACCAGCCUUUUUGCUGAGUAAUUUGUGCGAUUCAUCAAAUCGCAGAUGGCUUUCAUUUAUUUAUAUUUUUUCAAUUUAAUCCUAUAUAUUGAAAGGUAUAUCUGCGAAUUUCUAAGAUGACUAACAUUCAUUUAUAUUUUUUCAUUUUAACAUAUUGUUUCGUAUAUUUUUUCUAGUGUGGAUGUAUAGGUAAGAUCGAAGUGAUGCAUGGAAGAUCUGAGUACAGAUCUGUGUUUUUGAAGUGCUCAGUAACCCUAAUUUCGCAUAUGGCUCAAAGGGUAAUAGAUCUUCGAAAAGCCAGGAGAUCUAGAACUUUAAGAAGACAUUCUUCUAUGAAGGUUUAUACAAAGUUAAAGAUAAGUGUAAUGUGAAGAGUUAAUUAUUAUACUGUAUUCCUAUGAAGAUUAAGCAUACAAUAUUUGCAAUCAAAUAUGCAAUUGGAUUUCAUAUUCAUUAUGUACUGUAAAUUGUAAAAAAAAAAAAAAAAAAGAAAGAAAUGUAGCAUAAUCCGACAUUUGUUUAGAUUAAAGUAAUAUAAGGCAAACUGUUAACUAACCUUUGAUAUGUGAUGAUAGUUUUCUCUUGUUUCCAAUAACUGUUGAACCAGUUAGUUGCUUCAUAGCUCAAUACUUGAUCUGCUUUCUACUUCGCCAAGAAAACUGUUAGGAUAGUAUCAUUACAAAACAGUGUUCUUAUAUGCUUAUGAACAUGUUUGAUUCUUGAAUGCCAUAUAUAUAUAUAGCUAUCAACUUGUAGAGAAUUCAAAACUCACUAUUUAGGAUUGCUAUAGUGUACUCAAUGUUGAUUACAACAUUGUAGUAGGGCUAGGUGUAUGGGGAAAGCCAAAGUGUUGUGUGUUUUGGGUACUGUGUAACUUGUAGUGUACUCAAGCAUGUAAUAGAUAAUUAAUGUUUUUGUUCUGAUUCUAUUUUAAAACCCAAAUACUAACAAUCUAAAUUUACAGGCAAGUGAUGAUAAAGAAAUUUGAUGCAUUUUUUUUUUUUUUUUUUUUUUUUUUUUUGGGUCUUCUAAAUUCUAAUCCCAUUAUUCUAAUCUAAACAUAAUACAUGUCAGUAUAAUACACUAAUCCUCUAAUUGCUUUCAAGCUCGAAAUAUCUUGUUGCAUCUUAAAUUUCUAAUUCAUGUUUCUACUGACUGCUCAUGAUAUAUUUGUUCUUUCAGGUCUGUUCCAUUGGAAAUACUACCUGCAAAAAUUAGUUUUCUUUCUACAGUAUGUGGUCUUUGGACAUAACAAGCCUUAACCUAUGGACAGAUCAAGGAUCACUCUUAGGCAUUGAUGCGCUUCUUGGUUGCCCCUCCCUAUCUCUAAGCUUUGCCUCUCCCAGUUCAAGUUUCCCCAAAACAAAUGAGCAUCACUGUAUAAAUCUUAAAAAGGAAGAAGUUUCGUGAGAUAGAAAGGAAAACAUUACCUCCUGUUUCUUGAUCUUUCUCUUGUGUUUCAGUACACUGUAAAUGUGGGGUUUCACUUUCUAUUGUGUUUCAUUGUAAAUGUGGGGUUUCACUGUGAAACAUCUAGUAUUUAUAGCUAGCAUCUCACAAAAAUUCAGUUUCAAAAAUAUGUAAUAAUUAUAUUUUAGCAUGCUUGCUUGUGUAAUGGUAAUAAAUGAU
Ipomoea nil (Japanese morning glory) is the source of this 1706-nucleotide long non-coding RNA. RefSeq lists it as uncharacterized. The transcript is spliced from 3 exons. The record is from RefSeq and is a predicted model, not a curated record. Lineage: Eukaryota; Viridiplantae; Streptophyta; Magnoliopsida; Solanales; Convolvulaceae.